GACGAACGCUGGCGGCGUGCUUAACACAUGCAAGUCGAACGGACAGGUCCUGCUUUUUUGGGGUGCUCGAGUGGCGAAGGGGGGAGUAGCCCGUGAGUAACCUGCCCUUGACGUAGAGAGAACUUCAGAAAGGUGGUGCUAAUACCUGAUAGGAGCUCCGGCUGCAGGUGGGGGGUUGGAUAGUUUCGUCGUUGGUGGAGAGACGCGCGGCUUAUCCGCUUGUCGGUGGGGUAGUUGCUUACCACGGCAUCGACGGGUAGCCUGCAUGAGAGGGUGACCGCGGACAUUGGGACUGAGAGACGGCGCAGAGUCCUACGGGAGGCAGCGGUGGGGAGUAUUGCACAAUAGGGGCAAGCGUGAGGCAGAGACGUCGCGUGUGGGAUGACGGGCUUCGGGUGGUAAACAGCUUUCGCCUGAGACGAAGCGUGAGUGACGGUAACGGGUAAAGAAGCACCGGCUAACUACGUG
RNAcentral lists this ribosomal RNA (468 nucleotides) under uncultured bacterium. RNAcentral describes it as "partial 16S ribosomal RNA". It matches the Rfam family "Bacterial small subunit ribosomal RNA", at positions 28 to 507 of the family's 1533-position model. The record is from RNAcentral.